CUGUGUGGCUAGGAACUAAGGCCUCCUGUCAAUAGUCCUGUGUAUGAGUCAUCUUGGAAGUAGAUUGCCCAGCUGCCGUCAAGCCUUCAGAAGACUGUGGUCCUCACUGACAUCUUGCCUGCAACCUCAUGAGAGUUCCUGAGCUAGACCACCCAGUUAAGUUACUGCUGGAUUCCUGACCACAGAAACUGUGAGCUGAUGUUACGCUUCAAUCUACUGUCUGCAUUCUUAACUCUGUCUCAGCAUCUGAUUCCCAGAGGACCUAACUGAUGGUGGUUCCAGGAAUGCUCAAAGAAAACAGGUGAAGAGAAUUCAUUGGUUUACAUAAUUUUAGUUGGAAGUGGACUGAGGGAAAAUGGCAGAUAGGAGGCAGGACUAACUUGCAGCUCCCACUUGGAUGGACAGAACAACAUAUGGAGACUCACAUAAUGAACUUUUGCUCCAAGAACUACCACAGAAAUAUGCCAGGAAAGCCGAGAGAAUCCACAGACCCUUUGAAGGAGGUGGAUUGCUGCUGCAGGCUCCGUGGGACA
This 533-nucleotide long non-coding RNA is filed under the name Homo sapiens (human). RNAcentral describes it as "HSALNT0381104". The record is from RNAcentral. Lineage: Eukaryota; Metazoa; Chordata; Mammalia; Primates; Hominidae.